RNAcentral lists this ribosomal RNA (492 nucleotides) under uncultured bacterium. RNAcentral describes it as "partial 16S ribosomal RNA". It matches the Rfam family "Bacterial small subunit ribosomal RNA", at positions 29 to 507 of the family's 1533-position model. The record is from RNAcentral.
AGUGAACGCUGGCGGUAGGCCUAACACAUGCAAGUCGAACGGCAGCACAGUAAGAGCUUGCUCUUACGGGUGGCGAGUGGCGGACGGGUGAGGAAUACAUCGGAAUCUACUUUUUCGUGGGGGAUAACGUAGGGAAACUUACGCUAAUACCGCAUACGACCUACGGGUGAAAGCAGGGGAUCUUCAGACCUUGCGCGAUUGAAUGAGCCGAUGUCGGAUUAGCUAGUUGGCGGGGUAAAGGCCCACCAAGGCGACGAUCCGUAGCUGGUCUGAGAGGAUGAUCAGCCACACUGGAACUGAGACACGGUCCAGACUCCUACGGGAGGCAGCAGUGGGGAAUAUUGGACAAUGGGCGCAAGCUUGAUCCAGCCAUACCGCGUGGGUGAAGAAGGCCUUCGGGUUGUAAAGCCCUUUUGUUGGGAAAGAAAAGCAGCAGGUUAAUACCCCGCUGUUCUGACGGUACCCAAAGAAUAAGCACCGGCUAACUUCGUG